Long non-coding RNA from Harpegnathos saltator (Jerdon's jumping ant), 107 nucleotides. RefSeq lists it as uncharacterized. The transcript has 2 exons. Lineage: Eukaryota; Metazoa; Arthropoda; Insecta; Hymenoptera; Formicidae. The record is from RefSeq and is a predicted model, not a curated record.
CUUACAUACAUAUUUGAAUGGAUGAGCGUAAGCUUUUGAGUGUCUUAAAAAUGUGAACGAGAGACAAGUGGAUACGUAUUGGUAAAAUAAAGACAAAAAUAUUUUGA